GCGAGAGUGGCGGAAAUGGCAGACGCGCUAGAUUUAGGAUCUAGUACCCUCGUGGUGUGGGGGUUCGACUCCCCCCUCUCGCA
Molecule: transfer RNA, 83 nt
Filed under: bacterium
Lineage: Bacteria
Also listed under: 2 other names
Description: tRNA-Leu
Rfam family: tRNA
About the family: Transfer RNA (tRNA) molecules are approximately 80 nucleotides in length. Their secondary structure includes four short double-helical elements and three loops (D, anti-codon, and T loops).
Source: RNAcentral